Triticum dicoccoides is the source of this 3397-nucleotide long non-coding RNA. RefSeq lists it as uncharacterized. Lineage: Eukaryota; Viridiplantae; Streptophyta; Magnoliopsida; Poales; Poaceae. The record is from RefSeq and is a predicted model, not a curated record. The transcript is spliced from 3 exons.
CUUGCGCGGAGGGGUCAAGCACUACGCGAAGAAGAGGAGGAGAGAGGGGGUCGCGGGCGGAGAUCCUCACCGGCGGCAAAGGGGCGCGCGUGCUGCGUGGGUGACGGCACAAGGUGAGGGGAUUGGGAGGAGUAGCAGCUCUAUCCGGAGGAUCUCCCGAUUGCUAGGGUUAACGAGGCUCGACUGGGCAUAGUUGGGCGCGGCAUGGAAGCUCCGGCGGUGGACGAGCAUGGUGGCUCGGUACCUCCUGUUCGAACAGAGAGAAAGAGCGAGCACAGGAUGGAGGAAGGAGAGAACAAGAGGAAGGAUAGGGAGAGGAGGAAGGAAGGGCGGCUCUGGGUAGCUGAUUCCGGCGGGGGUCGCCGGCAUCGAGGUGGCGAGGCGAGGCCGGGUGCGCUGGCUUCUCCAUCACUUCUGGUUCCCCACCGUGGCUGCAGGCCUCCUCUCCCUCUCCAUCUUGCGCUCCUCCUGCUCCACUUCAUGUCCGGCCGUGGCUGGCCACAUCUAAACAGAUUACUAAUACAGUGACAAAUUCAGGGGAUACAAUGUCAGAUUACAUUCCGCGGAUGUCUUGCAGAUAAAAAUCCUUGUGGUGGAGGUAUUAUGUGCUACCACUUUAUCAUUACAUAACCAAUUUCCAUUCUUCAUAAAUAGCAACAAGCAGUUUUCCUCUCCAAGCAUAUUCAAAAGCGAAAAAAAAAAUGUAUUGUUUAUCCAAACUGUAUGAUGAGAUAGUUCAUAGUGUUGGACUAAAAUUGGAGAACACAAGUUUAUCAGAGACAAUAAGGAUUUGUCAUCAAGGAUCUAAGAGCUCUGGUAAUAUGUCCUUCUCCUCUUUUGAUUCUCCUUUCAGGACAUAAGAUUGCAGACUCUUGUUUAUAAGUAUAAGGGUGAAAGUAACUUUAAAUACUGUAGCACACGUCUCGUUCGAUUUGAUUCAAAGUGCAAUAAUGUACAGAACAUUAACGAUUACUCUCUCCUUCCGGAAAUAAGUGACGAUGUUUUAAUUCAAAAUUGAACUGUUGUAAAAUACAUAUGUUCAACUCCUUCCCCGGCGCCACGCUUUGGAGGCUUGCUCUGCUCAGCAUUCCCCGACCAAACUCUCCUUCCAUGUCCUUAUGCCGGAGACACACCAGCUACUUGAUAGCAGGUGCAAAAUAGAGCAGCGCUCCCACAAUUUUUUGUCCGAGGCAUGUUUUUUUGGGGGAGGAUCUUGACUUCGUCGCAGAUUACUCUAAUGCAGUCAUGUAGGUCCGCAUCGCGGUGACAUCUUGUUGCGCCAUCUUGAUGGCACUACUUCGCAGGCAGAAACCUCUCGCCGGAUCGCGUCCUAUCAUAUCUGUACACUCCUAACUUUGGAUAAAAGAAGUCUAAUUGAGGUUAAGAAAGGAGUGAAAUAAGCAUCUGGGCCUCAUAAUUUUUGUGCAAACGAGAGACCUACAGAGACACCAUCAUGGGUGUUGUGUAUUUACAAACAUAAGAGUGCAAAGGAAGCUUACUCUGUGUUGGUGCCCUGUUCUUUUAUAUGUUUCUCAAGCAGCUCAUCUUGACUGGUUAUCGGCACGACAAUAGUCGUACCCCUGGCCACGACCCCAGAGAGGAAUCUCUUUCUCCCAGACUGCCAGGGUGCAUUUUAACGUUGAGUAUCUUUAUUUUGGUCAUGGUCUGAGUGUAAACUAACUGAUGCACCCUUAAAGAAAUCUGGUUACUCUUUCACUUCUGGAUUUAUUAGCAAACUGUUCAUGAAAAUCUGAACUGUGUAAUUGUGUAUAUGUAAAUAUACACUUCUUACUUGACAAAAUAAACCGUAUGAGGUCCAAAAUAAAUUUUUGAUGGCCUUCUUCCAUUUAUUACCUUGCAUUUUGAUGAUGAGAAUGUCUGGUCAUAGUAAUGCAUGGAGCAAAGGAAAUUACCUUCUCAUGUUUAUGUGUAUUUCCCCAUGAUAAGAACAUGUUCAUGUAUGAGUUUGUUUCUUGAUUCAGUGUUUCAAUUUCAAUCAUGAGUUUUCUUCUUGAUUCAGCGUUUCAAAAGCUAAGCUCGGUGAGUAUUCAGAAAAGAUUGAAGAACUAGCUGCCACGCUCACUGCUCAAGCAAUAUGUUUUUAACAUGUCAAUUCAUAUUGAUAUGUUGAAUUCGUACACCUGCAGUUUGAACUGAUUUCCCGGACCAGUACAUGUCACCAUUACUUACAGUCUAGCUUCUAGAUACACAUUCAUUACAAUCCUUUGGAUACAGCUAGAAAAUGAACAUCCACUUGAUGAGAUCAAAGAAGAAAUAUCCUGUCAUUAGCCCGAUUCUUUUAUAUAUGCGAAUCUGUUUAGGGAGAAGUGGUGCUAGCUUUAUUGCCAGGAAAAAUUGAGCUUAGUGCCUCUACAAGUGGCACAACAUACACGUUUAUAUUAUAAAGGGCAUAUUGUUUCUUCAGUCCUAUUUCAAUAUAUAAGGUAUGCAUUUGAAUUUAAUAAUACUCUUUUUUUGUCAUUUAUCUGUUGUCUUUUCAUACUAAAUAUUUCUCACACAUACCCAAGAUACUAAUAGAAUGAAGCCACAUUAAUUUAGGAAUCACAACAAUACUCAUGUUUAAACUAAAUGCUACCUUUUUUAAGUUUGAACUUUAAAUGCUAGCUAUUUCGAUCUUUUUCCGUGGCAAUACCAAAUAUUUUCUUCCGGUAAAAAACCCAGACAUGUUCCUAUAUGACUCUCCCCUUUCUAUGUGAAAUACUAAUUCUUAUAUUAUUAUUUGCAGGCUCGGAAUCAUUAACGUGUCAAUGUCACCUCGAAUAGUGAUUGUUCUGUGUACGGAAGGUCCUUCGUGUAGCUUUCAUUCGGCACUAGGUCUCUGUUGAUACUGAAUUUGUAAGUAACUUGCAAGUAACAGACGUUUUGACAAUGAUCACUACUACCAAUGAGGACCACUGGCAAGAUAUAGCACAACAACCUGGUCCCUGUUCCGUAAAGGUUGGCCUGAUCCCCGUUGAAACAAAUUUGGCGUGGUACAUUAGUUGCAUUGUUCAUCCUGCAUGUUUUUUUUCACUUUCCUAAAGUAUGUUUGAGUAUAGCUUAUGGUUUAUUUAUAAGCUUGUGAGUUAAUUAAAGCUCACUUGGUGGUUCUAACUAAUUAUACUCAAAUAUGACCAUGACCGAAAGAUAGAUGAAGGUUCAGAUGCAGAGUGAAAGCCUGCACCAACAAGUUGUAUAUGGAACCUGGCGACUUGAUGGUGAGCACUAACCUUCACUCCGCAAGAAUCCUUUUUGACACUUACUCUGUAGAAAAAGCCUUUCAGUUUAAUAUAUUCUGCUUUUGUGGUUAAUAGAUCAAUGAACAAUCAUUUGAAUUGUGCUCCAUGAUAUUCAAGCUACUAUUGUAAGAAAUUGAAAGAAGUUCAUGUUUUGCCGC